This is a non-coding RNA of Pelobates cultripes (western spadefoot toad), 66 nucleotides long. The record is from the annotation of a GenBank genome assembly. Lineage: Eukaryota; Metazoa; Chordata; Amphibia; Anura; Pelobatidae.
AGGUGGUAGUGGAUCCACACACAUACAUAUAUAUAUAUAUGUAUGUGUGUGGAUCCACUACCACCU